AGAGUUUGAUCAUGGCUCAGGAUGAACGCUAGCGGGAGGCUUAACACAUGCAAGUCGAGGGGCAGCAUAGGGUAGCAAUACUCUGAUGGCGACCGGCAAACGGGUGAGUAACGCGUAUGUAACCUACCCUGUACAGGGGGAUAACCCGGAGAAAUUCGGACUAAUAUCCCAUAACAAUAUCCGGGGGCAUCUUUGGAUAUUUAAAGUUCCGGCGGUACGGGAUGGGCAUGCGUAACAUUAGCUAGUUGGUAAGGUAACGGCUUACCAAGGCUUUGAUGUUUAGGGGUCCUGAGAGGGUGGUCCCCCACACUGGUACUGAGACACGGACCAGACUCCUACGGGAGGCAGCAGUGAGGAAUAUUGGUCAAUGGGCGCAAGCCUGAUUUUUGCCAUCCCGCGCGCAGGAAGACGGCGCUAUGCGUUGUAAACUGCUUUUCCAGGGAGAGAAACUUGCGCACGUGUUGCGCAAUUGACGGUACCCUGGGAAUAAGCAUCGGCUAACUCCGUGCCAGCAGCCGCGGUAAUACGGAGGAUGCGAGCGUUAUCCGGAUUCAUUGGGUUUAAAGGGUGCGUAGGCGGACUAUUAAGUCAGUGGUGAAAUCCUGCAGCUUAACUGCAGAACUGCCAUUGAUACUGAUAGCCUUGAGUUUGGUUAAGGUAGGCGGAAUGUGUAAUGUAGCGGUGAAAUGCUUAGAUAUUACACAGAACACCAAUUGCGUAGGCAGCUUACUGAGCCGACACUGACGCUGAGGCACGAAAGCGUGGGGAUCGAACAGGAUUAGAUACCCUGGUAGUCCACGCCGUAAACGAUGAUUACUCGCUGUUGGCGAUACACUGUCAGCGGCUAAGCAAAAGCAAUAAGUAAUCCACCUGGGGAGUACGGCCGCAAGGUUGAAACUCAAAGGAAUUGACGG
Molecule: ribosomal RNA, 914 nt
Filed under: uncultured bacterium
Lineage: Bacteria
Description: bacterial SSU rRNA
Rfam family: Bacterial small subunit ribosomal RNA
Source: RNAcentral